Molecule: long non-coding RNA, 1343 nt
Filed under: Homo sapiens (human)
Lineage: Eukaryota; Metazoa; Chordata; Mammalia; Primates; Hominidae
Description: non-protein coding lnc-UTRN-3:5
Source: RNAcentral
ACUCUGGCCAGCUUUUAUGUAGGGCAGACAUCUCAGGAGGAAGAGCCAACAGAACCAGAAGUGUUCCCAGACAUGUUGCUUCACCACCGUGCCUCUCUUUCUUUCAGCAAACAGGAGAGGUAGGAGAGGAAGGCAGAACAGAGCACUGACUCAGCCCACCUGCACCCAGGUGAAAUAAACAGCUUUAUUGCUCACACAAAGCCUGUUUCGUGGUCUCUUCACACUGACGUGCAUGAAAUUUGUUGCCAUGACUUGGAUCGGGGGACCUCCCUUUGGAGAUCAAUCCCCCAUCCUCCUGCUCUUUGCUCCGUGAGAAAGAUCCACCUAUGACCUCAGGUCCUCAGACUGACCAGCCCAAGAAACAUCUCACCAAUUUCAAAUCCGGGGCUUGCUACACAUGCCGGAAAUCUGGCCACUGGGCCAAGGAAUGCCUGCAGCCCGGGAUUCUUCCUAAGCCACGUCCCAUCUGUGUGGGACCCCACUGAAAAUCAGACUGUUCAACUCACCUGGCAGCCACUCCCAGAGCCCCUGGAACUCCGGCCCAAGGCUCUCUGACUGACUCCUUCCCAGAUCUUCUCGGCUUAGCGGCUGAAGACUGCUGCUCGGUUGCCUCGGAAGCCCUAUAGACCAUCACGGAUGCUGAGCUUUAGGUAACUCUCACAGUGGAAGUACAAGAAGGCAGGAAUGUCAGGCCUCUGAGCCCAAGCCAAGCCAUCGCAUCCCCUGUGACUUGCACGUAUACGCCCAGAUGGCCUGAAGUAACUGAAGAAUCACAAAAGAAGUGAAAAGGCCCUGCCCGGCCUUAACUGAUGACAUUCCACCAUUGUGAUUUGUUCCUGCCCCACCUUAACUGAGUGAUUAACCCUGUGAAUUUCCUUCCCCUGGCUCAGAAGCUCUCCCACUGAGCACCUUGUGACCCCCGCCCCUGCCCACCAGAGAACAACCCCCUUUGACUGUAAUUUUCCUUUACCUUCCCAAAUCCUAUAAAAGGGCCCCACCCGUAUCUCCCUUCGCUGACUCUCUUUUCGGACUCAGCUCACCUGCACCCAGGUGAAAUAAACAGCUUUAUUGCUCACACAAAUCCUGUUUGGUGGUCUCUUCACACGGAUGUGCAUGAAAUAAACCAUGUUUGAUGAACCCAGAUGAGCAAUCUGUUGAUCUGAGAAAAGGAGUUUACUUGAAUGAAAGCUAGUGUUGUUUGGAUAAAUGGACAUUGGGAAGUUCCUGAAACAAUCACGUGAUCUGCAACUUUAUCUUCCUGAGCCAGGGUUUUCUGGAAGAGUGAUGCCCUGUAGCUGCAGACAGUGAGCUGUGUGGUUGAGAUAGUUUGAAUGCUGGGGGCU